Mesocricetus auratus (golden hamster) is the source of this 578-nucleotide long non-coding RNA. RefSeq lists it as uncharacterized. The transcript is spliced from 3 exons. Lineage: Eukaryota; Metazoa; Chordata; Mammalia; Rodentia; Cricetidae. The record is from RefSeq and is a predicted model, not a curated record.
GGUUGUCUGAGAUGCUCCUGGAAGCAGGGUGCUGGAUGACCUAGACUUUAUCAGAAGGUAGACCUAGCAGAGGGAGAUUGCUUUUAUGACUGAUCUUUAUGACAAACUUUACACUUCACAUUUAACAGCACCUUCUGUCCUGGGCAUGAGGAAAUAUAGAUAUUUAUUGACAUAGGAUGUCAGAAGAUCAAGGAAAAUUGACUCUGGAGAAGGAAGGAGGAGGGGUUUAUCUCUUUGCUCAGGUGUCCAUGAAAACUAGCCUGGGUCUAAGGAAUCUCACCCUCAAGCUCCAGGAUUUGCAGCCUCCACCUGAAGAGCUGAGGAAGAAGCUUUUGCAGCUGGUGAAGUCUCCCUCCCAUUGCUGCUGCAAGAAGCUAGAGAGCUUGGAGUGAAUGACAAUUUGGAGAAACAGCCGCAGUCUGAAGAUCUAAGAGGCUCUAAAGAAGAUGGAUAAGAAAAUCGAUGCAUAAUAAAAGCUGCAGGCAAAGCCACCUUGACACAGGGCCGGUAGCUUUCUCUUGCUGCCCUUAGUCCCCCCAGGUUCAGGCCUGUGUCUUAACUACCUUCCUCUUUUUUCA